GGACAACAGGUUUGGCAUCUACACACUGGGAGGUGAAUAGACUUUUAAAACUGCACAACCACUUCUAUCAUUCCUGCUUGAUCAUCCACCCAUACCCCUUCCUCAUUCUGUAAUCGUAUGAUUUCCUUUCUCUUUUUCCUCCCGCUAGCCACUCAAUGGAAGUAACAGGUAUUCUGCUCCACAUCCUUAUACCAGAAGUGCUUUGUUCCCUGUUUCCAGUGUGCCUCCUCCCUUUGUAGGACAUGGAGCAGGUCCUGCCUACUACUCUCAAAUUGAAACACGUUACUUUCAUCCUCAAGGUAUCGUAAUUCCUCCAACCUUCUUUUUAGUUCAUGAAUCAGCGGUUUAAACGUAACUUGGUGCUGCUUCCUCCAAACUUGCAGCGCGGUUGCAUACGCCUCCAGACGACUAGCAAUGUCGACCCCAUUUGUCUUCUUCCAACUCCUAUAAUAACUUGCCGCAUAGCCGGAAGAAUAGUCCACUAAUUAUCGAAAUAGAACAGUGUAGUGUUGAGAAUGAUGGGAGAGUGGUUCGAAGUUGGUUCUACCAGAUCAUGUAACUCGGCAUCGAGAAAUAAAGCUAACCAUUAUGUAUUCACCAUGCAUCGAUCAAGACGUUCUUCCACCCCUUGGAGAGGGAUGUCUACAAGGUUACAGUCUUCCCCUGCCUCUUUGAAAACCUCUUAUAAAAGUGAAGUGUACGCUCCGUUCUACCUCGCUUCUUGUUUGCACGCAACAAGUCAUUGAACUCUCCCAUAACACACCAUGAUCCCACCAACAUACCUGCCAAGCUACAUAAAAAGAUCCCACAAUUCAGCACGCCCCAAGCUAUCAGGAAGGCCAUAGAAGCCCGUCAAAUGAAACGACACCUGUUUUUCAUCUUUCAUCGACACAGCAAUAUAAUGAUGGUCCAUACUACGAACUUGAACUUUAUUCUCAUCCUUUCAAAAGAGGGUUAAGCCCCCAUGUGACCAUUAUUAUCAAUAACAAGACCACUACAAAAUUCAAAGAAGUUUU
Molecule: long non-coding RNA, 1016 nt
Filed under: Linum usitatissimum (flax)
Lineage: Eukaryota; Viridiplantae; Streptophyta; Magnoliopsida; Malpighiales; Linaceae
Description: long non-coding RNA (LUSI_LNC005013)
Source: RNAcentral